CCUACGGGGGGCUGCAGUGAGGAAUAUUGGUCAAUGGGCGUAAGCCUGAACCAGCCAAGUCGCGUGAGGGAUGAAGGUUCUAUGGAUCGUAAACCUCUUUUAUAAGGGAAUAAAGUGUGGGACGUGUCCUAUUUUGUAUGUACCUUAUGAAUAAGGAUCGGCUAACUCCGUGCCAGCAGCCGCGGUAAUACGGAGGAUCCGAGCGUUAUCCGGGUUUAUUGGGUUUAAAGGGUGCGUAGGCGGCCUUUUAAGUCAGCGGUGAAAGUUUGGGGCUCAACCAGAGAGUUGCGGUGGAAACUGGGGGGCUUGAGUAGGUGUGAGGCAGGCGGAAUGCGUGGUGUAGCGGUGAAAUGCUUAGAUAUCACGCAGAACCCCGAUUGCGAAGGCAGCCUGCCAAGCCAUGACUGACGCUGAUGCACGAAAGCGUGGGGAUCGAACAGGAUUAGAUACCCCAGUAGUC
Molecule: ribosomal RNA, 460 nt
Filed under: uncultured bacterium
Lineage: Bacteria
Description: partial 16S ribosomal RNA
Rfam family: Bacterial small subunit ribosomal RNA
Source: RNAcentral